AAGUAGGAUGGGUGAACGUUGCAUUUUCGCAUAAAACCUGAUAAGUUAAGCGUGCUCGUGCAGAAUCUCCGGUAAAUCACGUCAAAUGGUUGAUUCGGACUUCUGUCGUGGUGUGACGUGUCUCACAAAGUUGCAAUCGAGCGCUAGUUCAUGGUCCCUCACAUUCACUUCAAUAAAUGACAGCGCCUUUGAAGUGUGAUGGGGAGAGCGCUUAACGAACGCUGUAGGCACACACGGAUUCAGAGAGCGCAAGCUCCUUCGUAACCACCAGUCAGCGUAGGCCCUUCUGUCGUGGUUGGGCAUUAAAACGAAUAAUGGAUAUCUUGGUUCUC
RNAcentral lists this unclassified non-coding RNA (332 nucleotides) under fungal sp. RNAcentral describes it as "partial internal transcribed spacer region". The record is from RNAcentral. Lineage: Eukaryota; Fungi.